RNAcentral lists this ribosomal RNA (119 nucleotides) under Prorocentrum minimum. RNAcentral describes it as "partial Microsporidia small subunit ribosomal RNA". The record is from RNAcentral. Lineage: Eukaryota; Dinophyceae; Prorocentrales; Prorocentraceae.
UACCCUGAUUACGUAUUGGCUUGUGUAAGUAAGCCAUGAAGAAGGAAAUACGAGGAAUCUCUGGGUAGUUUGAUAGUGGUGGUCAGUAGAUGGGUUUUGUACAUGUCGCCCGUCAAGCA